CAGAGUCAAAGGGGGAGCCGCGGCUGUCGAUCCCACACCAUGAGGACGGGAGCCGUGAGAGUAAAAGAACUUUCAUAUACUUCAAGAAGAAAAUGUGUUGGCUCUCAGGACAUAUGCCAGGCUGAAAAUCCCAAUACAGCUGCAACUGAACUCAGUACCAGAGGGCUCCAAUUAUACAGUUUAACAGUCUUAAUCAUUUUAACUUUUACCUCCAUCUGCAUUUCAAAAGUAUGUUGAUUUAUAGCUUCAUACUCCAAUGUAUGCGAUUAAUGUUUUUGCACUCCGAAUGGCUUUGUAUGUACUUUGCAUUCUGUUUCUUUAACCUGGUACCAUGUUAACAAAAUAUAAUAAAUAUUUAUUAUUAAAA
Mauremys mutica (yellowpond turtle) is the source of this 367-nucleotide long non-coding RNA. RefSeq lists it as uncharacterized. The transcript is spliced from 2 exons. The record is from RefSeq and is a predicted model, not a curated record. NCBI's taxonomy places the organism in Eukaryota, Metazoa, Chordata, Testudines, Geoemydidae.